This 468-nucleotide ribosomal RNA is filed under the name uncultured bacterium. RNAcentral's name for it is "partial 16S ribosomal RNA". It matches the Rfam family "Bacterial small subunit ribosomal RNA", at positions 28 to 507 of the family's 1533-position model. The record is from RNAcentral.
GACGAACGCUGGCGGCGUGCUUAACACAUGCAAGUCGAGCGGAAAGGCCCUGCUUUUGUGGGGUGCUCGAGUGGCGAACGGGUGAGUAACACGUGCGUAACCUGCCCUUGACUUUGGGAUAACUUCAGGAAACUGGGGCUAAUACCGGAUAGGAGCUCCUGCUGCAUGGUGGGGGUUGGAAAGUUUCGGCGGUUGUGGCUGGAUUCGCGGCUUAUCCGCUUGUUUGUGAGGUAGUGGCUUACCAGGGCUUUGACGGGUAGGCGACCUGAGAGGGCGACCGGCGACAAGGGGACUGCGAGACGGAGCAGACGGGUACGGGACGCAGCAGGGGGGAACAUUGCGCAACGGGGGCGAGCGUGAGGCAGCGGCGCCGCGAGCGGGAUGACCGCCUACUAGGGGAAAACCACUGUCGAAGUUGACGAAGCCGUAGUGACGGUAAUUGAUAAGAAAGCACCGGCUAACUACGUG